This 253-nucleotide ribosomal RNA is filed under the name uncultured bacterium. RNAcentral describes it as "partial 16S ribosomal RNA". It matches the Rfam family "Bacterial small subunit ribosomal RNA", at positions 524 to 776 of the family's 1533-position model. The record is from RNAcentral.
UACGGAGGAUGCAAGCGUUAUCCGGAAUUAUUGGGCGUAAAGCGUCCGCAGGUGGUACAUCAAGUCUGCUGUCAAAGACCGGAGCUCAACUCCGGGCAGGCAGUGGAAACUGGUGAACUAGAGUACGGUAGGGGUAGAGGGAAUUCCCAGUGUAGCGGUGAAAUGCGUAGAGAUUGGGAAGAACACCAGUGGCGAAGGCGCUCUACUGGGCCGUAACUGACACUCAGGGACGAAAGAUAGGGGAGCGAAAGGG